CGAGCGGUAGCACAGAGAGCUUGCUCUCGGGUGACGAGCGGCGGACGGGUGAGUAAUGUCUGGGAAACUGCCUGAUGGAGGGGGAUAACUACUGGAAACGGUAGCUAAUACCGCAUAACGUCGCAAGACCAAAGUGGGGGACCUUCGGGCCUCAUGCCAUCAGAUGUGCCCAGAUGGGAUUAGCUAGUAGGUGGGGUAACGGCUCACCUAGGCGACGAUCCCUAGCUGGUCUGAGAG
This 237-nucleotide ribosomal RNA is filed under the name Klebsiella pneumoniae. Its description in RNAcentral is "partial 16S ribosomal RNA". It matches the Rfam family "Bacterial small subunit ribosomal RNA", at positions 63 to 298 of the family's 1533-position model. Lineage: Bacteria; Pseudomonadati; Pseudomonadota; Gammaproteobacteria; Enterobacterales; Enterobacteriaceae. The record is from RNAcentral.